RNAcentral lists this ribosomal RNA (483 nucleotides) under uncultured bacterium. Its description in RNAcentral is "partial 16S ribosomal RNA". It matches the Rfam family "Bacterial small subunit ribosomal RNA", at positions 30 to 506 of the family's 1533-position model. The record is from RNAcentral.
AUUGAACGCUGGCGGCAGGCCUAACACAUGCAAGUCGAGCGGAUGAAGGGAGCUUGCUCCUGGAUUCAGCGGCGGACGGGUGAGUAAUGCCUAGGAAUCUGCCUGGUAGUGGGGGAUAACGUCCGGAAACGGGCGCUAAUACCGCAUACGUCCUGAGGGAGAAAGUGGGGGAACUUCGGACCUCACGCUAUCAGAUGAGCCUAGGUCGGAUUAGCUAGUUGGUGGGGUAAAGGCCUACCAAGGCGACGAUCCGUAACUGGUCUGAGAGGAUGAUCAGUCACACUGGAACUGAGACACGGUCCAGACUCCUACGGGAGGCAGCAGUGGGGAAUAUUGGACAAUGGGCGAAAGCCUGAUCCAGCCAUGCCGCGUGUGUGAAGAAGGUCUUCGGAUUGUAAAGCACUUUAAGUUGGGAGGAAGGGCAGUAAGUUAAUACCUUGCUGUUUGGACGUUACCAACAGAAUAAGCACCGGCGAACUUCGU